GAACGCUGGCGGCGUGCCUAAUACAUGCAAGUCGAGCGAACCACUUCGGUGGUUGAGCGGCGAACGGGUGAGUAACACGUAGGUUAUCUGCCCAUCAGGACGGGGACAACGAUUGGAAACGAUCGCUAAUACCGGAUAGGACGAAGUUUAAAGGUGCUUUCGGCACCACUGAUGGAUGAGCCUGCGGCGCAUUAGCUAGUUGGUAGGGUAAAGGCCUACCAAGGCGACGAUGCGUAGCCGACCUGAGAGGGUGAACGGCCACACUGGGACUGAGACACGGCCCAGACUCCUACGGGAGGCAGCAGUAGGGAAUCUUCGGCAAUGGGCGAAAGCCUGACCGAGCAACGCCGCGUGAAUGAUGAAGGCCUUCGGGUUGUAAAAUUCUGUUAUAAGGGAAGAAUGGCUCUAGUAGGAAAUGGCUAGAGUGUGACGGUACCUUAUGAGAAAGCCACGGCUAACUACGUG
RNAcentral lists this ribosomal RNA (465 nucleotides) under uncultured bacterium. Its description in RNAcentral is "bacterial SSU rRNA". It matches the Rfam family "Bacterial small subunit ribosomal RNA", at positions 31 to 507 of the family's 1533-position model. The record is from RNAcentral.